AGCAGCCGCGGUAAUUCCAGCUCCAAUAGCGUAUAUUAAAGUUGUUGCAGUUAAAAAGCUCGUAGUUGAAUUUCGGGAUCGGUACGCUGGUCGUGCCUCCGGUAUGUACUGGUGUCACUGAUUCCUCCCUUCUGAAGAACCAUCAUGCCAUUCACUUGGUGUGGUGGGGAAUCAGGACUGUUACUUUGAAAAAUUGAGUGUUUAAAGCAGGCUCGCGCUUGAAUACAUUAGCAUGGAAUAAUGAAAUAGGACGUUUAUCCUAUUUUGUUGGUUUCUAGGAUUGACGUAAUGAUUAAUAGGGAUAGUUGGGGGCAUUAGUAUUCAAUUGUCAGAGGUGAAAUUCUUGGAUUUAUUGAAGACUAACUACUGCGAAAGCAUUUGCCAAGGAUGUUUUCACUAAUCAAGAACGAAAGUUAGGGGAUCGAAGACGAUCAGAUACCGUCGUAGUCUUAACCAUAAACUAUGCCGACUAGGGAUCGGAUGAUGUUAAUUUUAAUGACUCAUUCGGACG
RNAcentral lists this ribosomal RNA (511 nucleotides) under uncultured Glomeromycotina. Its description in RNAcentral is "SSU rRNA". It matches the Rfam family "Eukaryotic small subunit ribosomal RNA", at positions 569 to 1086 of the family's 1831-position model. The record is from RNAcentral. Lineage: Eukaryota; Fungi; Glomeromycota.